This 71-nucleotide small RNA is filed under the name Stenotrophomonas sp. ESTM1D_MKCIP4_1. Its description in RNAcentral is "sX9 sRNA". It matches the Rfam family "Xanthomonas sRNA sX9". Lineage: Bacteria; Pseudomonadati; Pseudomonadota; Gammaproteobacteria; Lysobacterales; Lysobacteraceae. The record is from RNAcentral.
AUGUACCCACGUACACUCCGGUUCCUGCGCGCCGCCCGCACCCGCCAGCCAAUCGCUCGCGACGGGCAGCG